GGGUCAGUAGGUUGGUCGUGCCACCGGUACGUACUGGUCUCACUGAUUCCUCCUUCCUGAAGAACCGUAAUGCCAUUAAUUUGGUGUUGCGGGGAAACAGGACUGUUACUUUGAAAAAAUUAGAGUGUUUAUAGCAAGCUAACGCUUGAAUACAUUAGCAUGGAGUAAUGAAAUAGGACGAUCGAUCCUAUUUUGUUGGUUUCUAGGAUUGACGUA
This 216-nucleotide ribosomal RNA is filed under the name Glomeromycotina sp. RNAcentral's name for it is "partial small subunit ribosomal RNA". The stretch from base 40 to 216 matches the Rfam family "Eukaryotic small subunit ribosomal RNA", at positions 686 to 864 of the family's 1831-position model. Lineage: Eukaryota; Fungi; Glomeromycota. The record is from RNAcentral.